AUUGAACGCUGGCGGCAGGCUUAACACAUGCAAGUCGAGCGGGGAAAGGUAGCUUGCUACUGGACCUAGCGGCGGACGGGUGAGUAAUGCUAGGAAUCUGCCUAUUAGUGGGGGACAACAUCUCGAAAGGGAUGCUAAUACCGCAUACGUCCUACGGGAGAAAGCAGGGGAUCUUCGGACCUUGCGCUAAUAGAUGAGCCUAAGUCGGAUUAGCUAGUUGGUGGGGUAAAGGCCUACCAAGGCGACGAUCUGUAGCGGGUCUGAGAGGAUGAUCCGCCACACUGGGACUGAGACACGGCCCAGACUCCUACGGGAGGCAGCAGUGGGGAAUAUUGGACAAUGGGGGGAACCCUGAUCCAGCCAUGCCGCGUGUGUGAAGAAGGCCUUAUGGUUGUAAAGCACUUUAAGCGAGGAGGAGGCUACUUUAGUUAAUACCUAGAGAUAGUGGACGUUACUCGCAGAAUAAGCACCGGCUAACUCUGUGCCAGCCGCCGCCGUAA
This 500-nucleotide ribosomal RNA is filed under the name uncultured bacterium. RNAcentral's name for it is "partial 16S ribosomal RNA". It matches the Rfam family "Bacterial small subunit ribosomal RNA", at positions 30 to 523 of the family's 1533-position model. The record is from RNAcentral.